UGGCGGCACUAGCGCGGUGGUCCCACCUGACCCCAUGCCGAACUCAGAAGUGAAACGCCGUAGCGCCGAUGGUAGUGUGGGGUUUCCCCAUGCGAGAGUAGGGAACUGCCA
RNAcentral lists this ribosomal RNA (111 nucleotides) under Salmonella enterica subsp. enterica serovar Senftenberg. The record is from RNAcentral. Lineage: Bacteria; Pseudomonadati; Pseudomonadota; Gammaproteobacteria; Enterobacterales; Enterobacteriaceae.